GACGAACGCUGGCGGCGUGCUUAACACAUGCAAGUCGAACGGACAGGCCCUGCUUUUGUGGGGUGCUCGAGUGGCGAACGGGUGAGUAACACGUGAGUAACCUGCCCUUGACUUUGGGAUAACAUCAGGAAACUGGGGCUAAUACCGGAUAGGAGAUCCUGCUCCACGGUGGGGGUUGGAAAGUUUCGGCGGUUGGGGAUGGACUCGCGGCUUAUCAGCUUGUUGGUGGGGUAGUGGCUUACCAAGGCUUUGACGGGUAGCCGGCCUGAGAGGGUGACCGGGCACAAGGGUACUGCGAUAGGGCCCAGACUGCUACGGGAGGCAGUAGGGGGGAAUAUGGCGGAGUGGGCGGAAGCCUGAGGCAGCAACGCCGCGUGCGGGAUGACGGCCUUCGAGUUGUGAACCGAUGUGGACGGUAACGAGGCGUGAGUGACGGUAAUUGGUAAAGAAGCACCGGCUAACUACGUG
RNAcentral lists this ribosomal RNA (468 nucleotides) under uncultured bacterium. RNAcentral describes it as "partial 16S ribosomal RNA". It matches the Rfam family "Bacterial small subunit ribosomal RNA", at positions 28 to 507 of the family's 1533-position model. The record is from RNAcentral.